This 1337-nucleotide ribosomal RNA is filed under the name uncultured bacterium. RNAcentral describes it as "bacterial SSU rRNA". It matches the Rfam family "Bacterial small subunit ribosomal RNA", at positions 27 to 1381 of the family's 1533-position model. The record is from RNAcentral.
GGAUGAACGUUGGCGGCGUGCCUAAUACAUGCAAGUCGAACGAAGACUGUAGUAAUACUGUCUUAGUGGCGAACGGGUGAGUAACGCGUGGGUGACCUGCCCCGAAGUGUGGGAUAACAGUUCGAAAGGAUUGCUAAUACUGCAUAAUAUCCAAGAGAUUAGACGCUUUUGGAUUAAAGGAGUAAUUCGCUUCGGGAGGGGCCCGCGUCCCAUCAGCUAGUUGGUAAGGUAAUGGCUUACCAAGGCGAUGACGGGUAGGGGACCUGAGAGGGUGGCCCCCCACAAUGGAACUGAAACACGGUCCAUACACCUACGGGUGGCAGCAGUAGGGAAUAUUAGUAAUGGGCGAAAGCCUGAACUAGCAACGCCGCGUGUGCGAAGAAGGCCUUCGGGUCGUAAAGCACUUUUUGAGAGGAUGAGGAAGGACGGUACUCUCAGAAUAAGUCUCGGCUAACUACGUGCCAGCAGCCGCGGUAACACGUAGGAGGCAAACGUUAUCCGGAUUUACUGGGCGUAAAGCGCGUGUAGGUGGUUUGGUAAGUAGGGCGUGAAAGCUCCUGGCUCAACUGGGAGAGGACGUUCUAAACUGCCAAGCUUGAGGAUGGUAGAGGGAGGUGGAAUUCCGGGUGUAGCGGUGGAAUGCGCAGAUAUCCGGAGGAACACCAGUGGCGAAGGCGGCCUCCUGGACCACUCCUGACACUCAGACGCGAAAGCUAGGGUAGCAAACGGGAUUAGAGACCCCGGUAGUCCUAGCCCUAAACGAUGUAGACUUGGCGUCGGUGGUUUAAUCGCCAUCGGUGUCGUAGCUAACGCGAUAAGUCUACCGCCUAGGGACUACGGCCGCAAGGUUAAAACUCAAAGGAAUUGACGGGUCCCCGCACAAGCAGCGGAGCGUGUGGUUUAAUUCGAUGCUACACGAAGAACCUUACCUGGGUUUGACAUAGAGGUAGUAGGGAAGCGAAAGCGGACCGACCCUUCGGGGAGCCUCUACAGGUGUUGCAUGGCUGUCGUCAGCUCGUGUCGUGAGACGUUCGGUUAAGUCCCAUAACGAGCGCAACCCUUAUCGUUAGUUGCCAGCUGGUAAAGCAGGGGACUCUAGCGAAACUGCCACCGUAAGGUGAGAGGAAGGUGGGGAUGACGUCAAAUCAGCACGGCCCUUAUGUCCAGGGCUACACACGUGUUACAAUGGCCGGUACAGAGGGCUGCUACCUGGUGACAGGAUGCUAAUCUCGAAAACCGGUCUCAGUUCGGAUCGAAGUCUGCAACUCGACUUCGUGAAGCCGGAUUCGCUAGUAAUCGCGCAUCAGCAACGGCGCGGCGAAUACGUUCCCGGGCCU